RNAcentral lists this ribosomal RNA (25 nucleotides) under uncultured Leohumicola. RNAcentral's name for it is "partial 18S ribosomal RNA". The record is from RNAcentral. Lineage: Eukaryota; Fungi; Ascomycota; Leotiomycetes.
GUGGUGACCUGCGGAAGGAUCAUUA